AUUGAACGCUGGCGGCAGGCCUAACACAUGCAAGUCGAGCGGUAACACAGAGGAGCUUGCUCCUUGGGUGACGAGCGGCGGACGGGUGAGUAAUGCCUGGGGAUCUGCCCGAUAGAGGGGGAUAACUACGGGAAACUGUAGCUAAUACCGCAUAACGUCUACGGACCAAAGUGGGGGCUCUUCGGACCUCAUGCUAUCGGAUGAACCCAGGUGGGAUUAGCUAGUUGGGGAGGGCAUGGCUCACCAAGGGGACGAUCUCUAACUGGUUUGAGCGAAUGACCAGUCACAAUGGAACUGAGACACGGUCCAGACUCCUACGGGAGGCAGCAGUGGGGAAUAUUGCACAAUGGGCGCAAGCCUGAUGCAGCCAUGCCGCGUGUGUGAAGAAGGCCUUCGGGUUGUAAAGCACUUUCAGCGGGGAGGAAGGGCUACUAGUUAAUACCUAGUGGCAUUGACGUUACUCGCAGAAGAAGCACCGGCUAACUCCGUGCCAGCAGCCGCAGUAA
RNAcentral lists this ribosomal RNA (506 nucleotides) under uncultured bacterium. RNAcentral's name for it is "partial 16S ribosomal RNA". It matches the Rfam family "Bacterial small subunit ribosomal RNA", at positions 30 to 523 of the family's 1533-position model. The record is from RNAcentral.